Brassica oleracea var. oleracea is the source of this 1357-nucleotide long non-coding RNA. RefSeq lists it as uncharacterized. NCBI's taxonomy places the organism in Eukaryota, Viridiplantae, Streptophyta, Magnoliopsida, Brassicales, Brassicaceae. The transcript is spliced from 3 exons. The record is from RefSeq and is a predicted model, not a curated record.
UCCAUCUCCGACUAUCUUCUGAUUGUUGUUCUGCAGCGACCAAAUCCAACUAGACCAAUGACGCUCCGGUGAACGUCGACAAGCUCCGGUGAUCACGAUUGACAAACUCAGAGAUAGUUUGUGUCGUGAAUCUUAUUUUUCGAAGUGAGUGCUGAUGGGUAGGCAUAAUAAGUGACUGGCAUGCAUUCUGAUUUUUAAGAUCGACAAGAUUGGUGAGCUGUUUGAAGAAUCAAUAGGACUCUGAACAAGACAUGGUCUGUGCUAUUAAAGAAUUACAGAUUUAUAAAAGUUUCAGAGUUGGCUUCUUAACACCAUCUUCUUGUCGAGUUAGAUAUCAAACUUUUUGCAGGUUAUAGUUAGAAUGAAGCCUCCAAAAAAAGUGGGGAAGAAGAAAUGAUUGUAUAAAAGAUAUCCAGAGAUUCUCUCAAAUCAGUGGACAGACUUUCACGGUCGACUCAGUUGCUGAUUCAGAGUCGACACAAGCAAAAUAUCUGUUUGAAUGAUUCUUGGUGGUGACAUUAAGCUAUGUCUAAUUCUGUCUACUGCUUUUGUUUUUUAUUUUUUUCAGGAACAUAUGAGCUAGUGGGAACGCCUCUUGUUGAAAAUUGUCUAUCUGGAUUUAACAAUUCUGUAUUUUCCUAUGGACAGCAGAGUAUUGCAAACAGAAGAGAUUGUAGUGAGACCAGGAUGGAAGAAGAAAGCUUGUGAACAAAGAAGACAUUGAGGAUGUAGGAAGGGAAGUGCAAUGCAUCACCUGACUGGUCAGCCAAACAUUGUGGAGCUUAAGGAGCUUAUGAGGAUAAGCAUUAUGUGCAUUUGGUCAUGGGGCUUUACGCAUGUGGACAGUUUGUUCGAUAGGAUUAUUUCUACAUGAAAUUACUCGAAGAGAGCAGCUGCUUCUUUGUUGAGAACCAUUGUUCAAAUUGUACCUACUUGUCAUUCCAUGGGGGUUAUUCACAGAGAUUUGACGCCUGAGAACUUUCUGUUGCUGAACAAAGAUAAGAACUCUCCUCUCAAAUCCAUUGACUUUGGUGUCUCCAAUUUCUACAAGCCAGGAGAUGUGUUCAAGGAUAUAGUGGGUAAUGCUUAUUACAUUGCACUAGAGGUGUUGAAAAGGAAAUAUGAAUCAGAAGCUGAUAUUUGGAGUAUUGGUGUCAUAUUGUAUGUCCUCUUAUGUGGUGUCUCACCCAUCUGGGUUGGUAAAAUAUUAAUCUCAUUAUAAACAUAUCUACAGAUGAUUUUUUUAUUUUAUAUAUAUAAAAAUGUAUUCAUGUGUUGUGAUUACCUGAUGAUCAUAGAAUCGGAGAAUUAAUGGGAUAUUCAAUGCCAUAUUAAAGGACUUGUUGAUUUUUCAAGU